Molecule: ribosomal RNA, 286 nt
Filed under: uncultured bacterium
Lineage: Bacteria
Description: partial 16S ribosomal RNA
Rfam family: Bacterial small subunit ribosomal RNA
Source: RNAcentral
GACGAACGCUGGCGGCGUGCUUAACACAUGCAAGUCGAGCGGUAAGGCCCUUUCGGGGGUACACGAGCGGCGAACGGGUGAGUAACACGUGGGUGACCUGCCCUCAGCUCUGGGAUAAGCCUGGGGAAACCGGGUUCUAAUACUGGAUAUGACUCCAUGACGCAUGUUGUGGGGUAGGAAAGCCUUGUGCGGCUGAGGAUGGGCCCGCGGCCUAUCAGCUUGUUGGUGGGGUGAUGGCCUACCAAGGCGACGACGGGUAGCCGGCCUGAGAGGCGACCGGCCACAC